AUACGUAGGGGGCGAGCGUUGUCCGGAAUUACUGGGCGUAAAGAGCACGUAGGCGGCUAUAUAAGUCAGAUGUGAAAAACCUGGGCUUAACCGAGGGUAUGCAUCUGAAACUAUAUAGCUUGAGUCAAGGAGAGGAGAGCGGAAUUCCUGGUGUAGCGGUGAAAUGCGUAGAGAUCAGGAAGAAUACCAGUGGCGAAAGCGGCUCUCUGGACUUGAACUGACGCUGAGGUGCGAAUGCGUGGGGAGCAAACAGGAUUAGAUACACUGGUAGUCCACGACGUAAACGAUGGAUACUAGGUGUGGGUGAGGAAUCAUCCGUGCCGGAGUUAACGCAAUAAGUAUCCCGCCUGGGGAGUACGGCCGCAAGGUUGAA
Molecule: ribosomal RNA, 373 nt
Filed under: uncultured bacterium
Lineage: Bacteria
Description: bacterial SSU rRNA
Rfam family: Bacterial small subunit ribosomal RNA
Source: RNAcentral